GGGUCAGUAGGUUGGUCGUGCCACCGGUCCGUACUGGUCUCACUGAUUCCUCCUUCCUGAAGAACCGUAAUGCCAUUAAUUUGGUGUUGCGGGGAAACAGGACUGUUACUUUGAAAAAAUUCGAGUGUUUAAAGCAAGCUAACGCUUGAAUACAUUAGCAUGGAAUAAUGAAAUAGGACGAUCGAUCCUAUUUUGUUGGUUUCUAGGAUUGACGUA
This 216-nucleotide ribosomal RNA is filed under the name Glomeromycotina sp. RNAcentral's name for it is "partial small subunit ribosomal RNA". The stretch from base 40 to 216 matches the Rfam family "Eukaryotic small subunit ribosomal RNA", at positions 686 to 864 of the family's 1831-position model. Lineage: Eukaryota; Fungi; Glomeromycota. The record is from RNAcentral.